UUAAAAGUACACUUUAAAAAAAACCCUACAUUAACGGUAGCUAGCUAACGGUAGACUACAGAGAAAGUGUGAUAUUUUUACGUCCAUUUCCAAGCAACAGAAGGAAACAUUUCAGUCAACACAUUAAGUGAAACUGAAAUGA
Molecule: long non-coding RNA, 142 nt
Organism: Etheostoma spectabile (orangethroat darter)
Lineage: Eukaryota; Metazoa; Chordata; Actinopteri; Perciformes; Percidae
Exons: 3
Source: RefSeq, a predicted model, not a curated record